UACGUAGGUGGCAAGCGUUGUCCGGAUUUAUUGGGCUUAAAGGGCGCGUAGGCGGCCCUGUAAGUCAGUGGUGAAAUCUCUCAGCUUAACUGAGAGGGUGCCAUUGAUACUGCAGGGCUUGAGUACAGAUGAGGUAGGCGGAAUUGACGGUGUAGCGGUGAAAUGCAUAGAUAUCGUCAAGAACACCGAUAGCGAAGGCAGCUUACCAAGCUGUAACUGACACUGAGGCACGAAAGUGUGGGGAUCAAACAGG
RNAcentral lists this ribosomal RNA (253 nucleotides) under uncultured bacterium. RNAcentral's name for it is "partial 16S ribosomal RNA". It matches the Rfam family "Bacterial small subunit ribosomal RNA", at positions 524 to 776 of the family's 1533-position model. The record is from RNAcentral.